RNAcentral lists this ribosomal RNA (476 nucleotides) under uncultured Anoxybacillus sp. Its description in RNAcentral is "bacterial SSU rRNA". It matches the Rfam family "Bacterial small subunit ribosomal RNA", at positions 907 to 1382 of the family's 1533-position model. Lineage: Bacteria; Bacillati; Bacillota; Bacilli; Caryophanales; Anoxybacillaceae. The record is from RNAcentral.
UGAAUUGACGGGGCCCGCACAAGGCGGUGGAGCAUGUGGUUUAAUUCGAAGCAACGCGAAGAACCUUACCAGGUCUUGACAUCCCCUGACAACCCGAGAGAUCGGGCGUUCCCCUUCGGGGGACAGGGUGACAGGUGGUGCAUGGUUGUCGUCAGCUCGUGUCGUGAGAUGUUGGGUUAAGUCCCGCAACGAGCGCAACCCUCGACCUUAGUUGCCAGCAUUCAGUUGGGCACUCUAAGGUGACUGCCGGCUAAAAGUCGGAGGAAGUGGGGAUGACGUCAAAUCAUCAUGCCCCUUAUGACCUGGGCUACACACGUGCUACAAUGGGCGGUACAAAGGGUCGCGAACCCGCGAGGGGGAGCCAAUCCCAAAAAGCCGCUCUCAGUUCGGAUUGCAGGCUGCAACUCGCCUGCAUGAAGCCGGAAUCGCUAGUAAUCGCGGAUCAGCAUGCCGCGGUGAAUACGUUCCCGGGCCUU